RNAcentral lists this ribosomal RNA (468 nucleotides) under uncultured bacterium. Its description in RNAcentral is "partial 16S ribosomal RNA". It matches the Rfam family "Bacterial small subunit ribosomal RNA", at positions 28 to 507 of the family's 1533-position model. The record is from RNAcentral.
GACGAACGCUGGCGGCGUGCUUAACACAUGCAAGUCGAACGGAAAGGCCCUGCUUUUGUGGGGUGCUCGAGUGGCGAACGGGUGAGUAACACGUGAGUAACCUGCCCUUGACUUUGGGAUAACUUCAGGAAACUGGGGCUAAUACCGGAUAGGAGCUCCUGCUGCAUGGUGGGGGUUGGAAAGUUUCGGCGGUUGGGGAUGGACUCGCGGCUUAUCAGCUUGUUGGUGGGGUAGUGGCUUACCAAGGCUUUGACGGGUAGCCGGCCUGAGAGGGUGACCGGCGACAUUGGGACUGAGAUACGGCCCAGACUGCUACGGGAGGCAGCAGUGGGGAAUAUUGCACAAUGGGCGGAAGCCUGAUGCAGCAAAGCCGCGUGCGGGAUGACGGCCUUCGGGUUGUAAACCGCUUUCGCCUGUGACGAAGCGUGAGUGACGGUAAUGGGUAAAGAAGCACCGGCUAACUACGUG